UCGAGGUAAAUUUCGUACCCACGACUCGUUUUUCCACGCUGAUUCCUCCUGUGGCCAAAUCGGAGCCAAAAUCUCGGCCAAACGGCCGGAAUGCACGGCCGAAUCCCAGCGGCGCCGCCGCGCCCUUCUCGGUUUUUGCCUCCGAUGAGGCCCUUCCCGGCCUCCGUUUGAUGCAAAUUUUAUAUCACCGUGAUCACCACUCUUUUCUCUACAGGUUGAC
RNAcentral lists this long non-coding RNA (220 nucleotides) under Carica papaya (papaya). RNAcentral's name for it is "long non-coding RNA (CPAP_LNC013387)". Lineage: Eukaryota; Viridiplantae; Streptophyta; Magnoliopsida; Brassicales; Caricaceae. The record is from RNAcentral.